CCUACGGGCGGCAGCAGUGAGGAAUAUUGGUCCAUGGACGAGAGUCUGAACCAGCCAAGUAGCGUGAAGGAUGACUGCCCUAUGGGUUGUAAACUUCUUUUAUAUGGGAAUAACAUGUUCCACGUGUGGGAUUUUGUAUGUACCAUAUGACUCAGGAUCGGCUAACUCCGUGCCAGCAGCCGCGGUAAUACGGAGGAUCCGAGCGUUAUCCGGAUUUAUUGGGUUUAAAGGGAGCGUAGGUGGAUUGUUAAGUCAGUUGUGAAAGUUUGCGGCUCAACCGUAAAAUUGCAGUUGAAACUGGCAGUCUUGAGUACAGUAGAGGUGGGCGGAAGUCGUGGUGUAGCGGUGAAAUGCUUAGAUAUCACGAAGAACUCCGAUUGCGAAGGCAGUUCACUGGACUGCAACUGACACUGAGGCUCGAAAGUGUGGGUAUCAAACAGGAUUAGAUACCCGAGUAGUC
Molecule: ribosomal RNA, 460 nt
Filed under: uncultured bacterium
Lineage: Bacteria
Description: partial 16S ribosomal RNA
Rfam family: Bacterial small subunit ribosomal RNA
Source: RNAcentral